This 434-nucleotide ribosomal RNA is filed under the name uncultured bacterium. RNAcentral's name for it is "bacterial SSU rRNA". It matches the Rfam family "Bacterial small subunit ribosomal RNA", at positions 957 to 1391 of the family's 1533-position model. The record is from RNAcentral.
GAACGCGAAGAACCUUACCUGGUCUUGACAUGUCAAGGAGUCUGCAGAGAUGCGGAUGUGCCUUCGGGAACUUGAACACAGGUGCUGCAUGGCUGUCGUCAGCUCGUGUCGUGAGAUGUUGGGUUAAGUCCCGCAACGAGCGCAACCCUUUUCCUUACUUGCCAGCAUUUCGGAUGGGAACUUUAAGGAUACUGCCAGUGACAAACUGGAGGAAGGCGGGGACGACGUCAAGUCAUCAUGGCCCUUACGGCCAGGGCUACACACGUGCUACAAUGGUCGGUACAAAGGGUUGCUACACAGCGAUGUGAUGCUAAUCUCAAAAAGCCGAUCGUAGUCCGGAUCGCAGUCUGCAACUCGACUGCGUGAAGUCGGAAUCGCUAGUAAUCGCGGAUCAGAAUGCCGCGGUGAAUACGUUCCCGGGUCUUGUACACACC